This 346-nucleotide ribosomal RNA is filed under the name Polylabris heterodus. RNAcentral's name for it is "eukaryotic LSU rRNA". It matches the Rfam family "Eukaryotic large subunit ribosomal RNA", at positions 37 to 365 of the family's 3401-position model. Lineage: Eukaryota; Metazoa; Platyhelminthes; Monogenea; Mazocraeidea; Microcotylidae. The record is from RNAcentral.
AGCAUAUCAAUAAGCGGUGGAAAAGAAACUAACCAGGAUUCCCCUAGUAACGGCGAGUGAACAGGGAUUAGCCCAGCACCGAAGUCUGCGUCUGUUUGGACGUUGGACAAUGUGGUGUUUAGGUUAGCAUUUUUGAAUGUCGCUCCGUUUAAAGUCCAUUCUUGAAUAUGGCUAAUAGUUUGGCCCAGAGAGGGUGAAAGGCCCGUGUGGAUGGAGUGAUGUUUAACUGUGUUAACUAUGGAGUCGGGUUGUUUGAGAAUGCAGCCCAAAGUUGGUGGUAAACUACCAUACUAAGGCUAAAUACUGGCACGAGUACCGAUAGCGAACAAGUCCGUGAGGGAAAAUU